This 483-nucleotide ribosomal RNA is filed under the name uncultured bacterium. Its description in RNAcentral is "partial 16S ribosomal RNA". It matches the Rfam family "Bacterial small subunit ribosomal RNA", at positions 28 to 507 of the family's 1533-position model. The record is from RNAcentral.
GAUGAACGCUGGCGGCGUGCCUAACACAUGCAAGUCGAACGAAGCUUGACGGAUGAUUUCUUCGGAAUGAAACCAGAUAUGACUUAGUGGCGGACGGGUGAGUAACACGUGAGCAACCUGCCUUUCAGAGGGGGAUAACGGCUGGAAACGGUCGCUAAUACCGCAUGAUGUGUUCGGAUGGCAUCAUCUGAACAUCAAAGAUUUAUCGUUGAAAGCUGGGCUCGCGUCUGAUUAGAUAGUUGGUGGGGUAACGGCCUACCAAGUCUACGAUCAGUAGCCGGACUGAGAGGUAGAACGGCCACAGGGGGACUGAGAUACGGCCCAGACUCCUACGGGAGGCAGCAGUGGGGAAUAUUGCACAAUGGGGGAAACCCUGAUGCAGCAGCGCCGCGUGAAGGAUGACGGUUUUCGGAGUGUAUACUUCUUUUCUUAGUGACGAAGACAGUGACGGUAGCUAAGGAAUAAGCAUCGGCUAACUACGUG